RNAcentral lists this unclassified non-coding RNA (403 nucleotides) under soil metagenome. RNAcentral describes it as "partial contains 5.8S ribosomal RNA, internal transcribed spacer 2, and large subunit ribosomal RNA". The stretch from base 1 to 120 matches the Rfam family "5.8S ribosomal RNA", at positions 35 to 154 of the family's 154-position model. The record is from RNAcentral.
GAUGAAGAACGUAGCGAAAUGCGAUAAGUAAUGUGAAUUGCAGAAUUCAGUGAAUCAUCGAAUCUUUGAACGCACCUUGCGCCCUUUGGACUUCUGAAGGGCAUGCCUGUUUGAGUAUCAUGAACACCUCAACUCCUUAUGGUCUUCCAUGAUGAGCUUGGACUUUGGGGGUUUUGCUGGCCUACAGUCAGCUCCUCUAAAAUAAAUCAGCUUACCGGUGUUUGGUGGGUAUCAUGGGUGUGAUAACUAUCUACGCUCGUGGUUUUCCACCAGGUAACCUUCAGCAGUGGAGGUUCACUGGAGCUCAUAGAUGUCUCUCCUCAGCGAGGACAGCCCUUUGAAUGUUUGAUCUCAAAUCAGGUAGGACUAACCGCUGAACUUAAGCAUAUCAAUAAGCGGAGGA